CUUUGUGAAAUGACUUGAGAGGUAUAAAAUAAGUGGGAGCCAGAAACGGCAAAAGUGAAAUACCACUACUAUUAACAUUAUUUUACAUUUUCCAUGAAACGAAGACGUGGCAAGGCCCCUUCUUUUAAAACUAAGGUUUACGCUGUUGGAGAAAUCUUUCUGGAAUAUUUUG
RNAcentral lists this non-coding RNA (172 nucleotides) under Eucalyptus grandis. RNAcentral describes it as "Eukaryotic large subunit ribosomal RNA". It matches the Rfam family "Eukaryotic large subunit ribosomal RNA", at positions 2437 to 2607 of the family's 3401-position model. The record is from Rfam by way of RNAcentral. Lineage: Eukaryota; Viridiplantae; Streptophyta; Magnoliopsida; Myrtales; Myrtaceae.